RNA transcript from Hipposideros armiger (great roundleaf bat), 932 nucleotides. It is a transcript of the gene named nucleolar protein 16 pseudogene, with no coding region annotated. The transcript has a single exon. Lineage: Eukaryota; Metazoa; Chordata; Mammalia; Chiroptera; Hipposideridae. The record is from RefSeq and is a predicted model, not a curated record.
GCCAUUAAGGAUAUUGGGGGGCCACUUAAAUUGCGCCUCAUUUCAUAGAAUCAUUAAGACUUAGUAAGGCACGACAAGUCGAGUGAGUAGCCAGUGUUGUGGUCAGCGCGAUGCCCAAGGCCAAGGGGAAGACCAGGAGGCAGAAGUUCGGUUACAAUGUUAACCGGAAGCGUCUUAACCGGAAUGCUAGACGGAAGGCAGUGCCGCGGAUGGACUGCUCCCACAUCCGACAUGCCUAGGACCACGCCAAAUCUGUACGGCAGAACCUGGCCGAGAUGGGGCUGGCUAUGGACCCCAACAAGGCGGUGCCCCUCCGUAAAAGAAAGGUGAAGGCCAUGGAGGUGGACCUAGAGGGAAGGCCUCAGGAGAUUGUGCGGAAGCCCUAUGUGCUGAAUGACUUGGAGGUAGAAGCCAGCCUCCCAGAAAAGAAAGGAAAUACGCUGUCUCGGGACCUCAUAGACCAUGUAUGCUACAUGGUGGAGAACCACGGGGAAGACUAUAAGGCUAUGGCCCGAGAUGAGAGGAAUUACUAUCAAGAUACCCCGAAACAGAUUCGGAAUAAGAUCAAUGUCUAUAAGCGUUUUUACCCAGCGGAGUGGCAAGCCUUUGUUGAAUCUUUGCAGAAGACUAAGAUGGAGAUCGAGUGACUGGUUUACAUCUGCCAGGCUGAGGCCUCCCCCUGGACCUGAGAAGCUGGAGUCAGGAUGUAAGGCAAGGAGGGGUGUGUGGUUACAGAUGAGGCUGGCCAAACCCCAUGGAAUCAAAAGGUUUUUCUCUCUCUCACUCCCCUCUCUGGGGAAGGAACUGACUCCCAGGGGCUCCAAUUUAUAUUCUUCUGGGGCCUCCAAGAAAAGCCAGAAUCUGCUGUUUUCAGAGUGGGUGGUUUGUUUGAAUACAGUCUGUACAUAAUAAAACAAGGCUAUUUUACUUCU